This 301-nucleotide ribosomal RNA is filed under the name uncultured bacterium. RNAcentral describes it as "partial 16S ribosomal RNA". It matches the Rfam family "Bacterial small subunit ribosomal RNA", at positions 509 to 807 of the family's 1533-position model. The record is from RNAcentral.
CAGCCGCCACGGGAAUACGUAGGUGGCAAGCGUUGUCCGGAAUUAUUGGGCGUAAAGGGCUCGCAGGCGGUUUCUUAAGUCUGAUGUGAAAGCCCCCGGCUCAACCGGGGAGGGUCAUUGGAAACUGGGAAACUUGAGUGCAGAAGAGGAGAGUGGAAUUCCACGUGUAGCGGUGAAAUGCGUAGAGAUGUGGAGGAACACCAGUGGCGAAGGCGACUCUCUGGUCUGUAACUGACGCUGAGGAGCGAAAGCGAGGGGAGCGAACAGGAUUAGAUACCCGCGUAGUCCCUGUCUCUUAUAC